RNAcentral lists this ribosomal RNA (421 nucleotides) under uncultured bacterium. RNAcentral's name for it is "bacterial SSU rRNA". It matches the Rfam family "Bacterial small subunit ribosomal RNA", at positions 358 to 775 of the family's 1533-position model. The record is from RNAcentral.
GGAAUAUUGGUCAAUGGACGAGAGUCUGAACCAGCCAAGUAGCGUGAAGGAUGACUGCCCUAUGGGUUGUAAACUUCUUUUGUGCGGGAGCAAUAAGGUCCACGUGUGGGCCGACGAGAGUACCGUACGAAUAAGCAUCGGCUAACUCCGUGCCAGCCGCCGCGGUAAUACGGGGGAUGCAAGCGUUAUCCGGAUUUAUUGGGUUUAAAGGGUGCGUAGGCUGUGAGGUAAGUCAGCGGUGAAAUGCCCCCGCUCAACGGGGUGAAGUGCCAUUGAUACUGCCUUGCUGGAAUGCGGAUGCCGUGGGAGGAAUGUGUGGUGUAGCGGUGAAAUGCAUAGAUAUCACACAGAACACCGAUUGCGAAGGCAUCUCACGAAUCCGCGAUUGACGCUGAUGCACGAAAGCGUGGGUAUCAAACAG